UACAGAGGGGGCAAGCGUUGUUCGGAAUUACUGGGCGUAAAGGGCGCGUAGGCGGCCUUCUAAGUCGAACGUGAAAUCCCUGGGCUCAACCCAGGAACUGCGUCCGAUACUGGAAGGCUUGAAUCCGGGAGAGGGAUGCGGAAUUCCAGGUGUAGCGGUGAAAUGCGUAGAUAUCUGGAGGAACAUCGGUGGCGAAGGCGGCAUCCUGGACCGGUAUUGAUGCUGAGGCGCGAAAGCCAGGGGAGCAAACGGG
RNAcentral lists this ribosomal RNA (253 nucleotides) under uncultured bacterium. RNAcentral describes it as "partial 16S ribosomal RNA". It matches the Rfam family "Bacterial small subunit ribosomal RNA", at positions 524 to 776 of the family's 1533-position model. The record is from RNAcentral.